This 451-nucleotide ribosomal RNA is filed under the name uncultured bacterium. RNAcentral's name for it is "partial 16S ribosomal RNA". It matches the Rfam family "Bacterial small subunit ribosomal RNA", at positions 354 to 796 of the family's 1533-position model. The record is from RNAcentral.
GUGGGGAAUAUUGCGCAAUGGGGGAAACCCUGACGCAGCGACGCCGUGUGAGGGAAGAAGGCUUUCGGGUCGUAAACCUCUGUCAGAAAGGAAGAACCUCCCAAGUCCGAAUAGGGCUUGGGACUGACGGUACUUUCAAAGGAAGCACCGGCUAACUCCGUGCCAGCAGCCGCGGUAAUACGGAGGGUGCAAGCGUUAAUCGGAAUCACUGGGCGUAAAGCGCGCGUAGGCCGCUUUGUAAGUCGGACGUGAAAGCCCUCUGCUCAACCGGGGGACUGCGUUCGAUACUGCGAGGCUUGAGUCCUGGAGAGGGUGGCGGAAUUCCGGGUGUAGGAGUGAAAUCCGUAGAUAUCCGGAGGAACACCGGUGGCGAAGGCGGCCAACUGGACAGGUACUGACGCUGAGGCGCGAAAGCGUGGGGAGCAAACAGGAUUAGAAACCCCUGUAGUCC